RNAcentral lists this long non-coding RNA (726 nucleotides) under Aedes aegypti (yellow fever mosquito). RNAcentral's name for it is "lncRNA AAEL024369". The record is from RNAcentral. Lineage: Eukaryota; Metazoa; Arthropoda; Insecta; Diptera; Culicidae.
UUGAAACAUUCAUUUACGAAUAAAUAACAAAAAUAAUCCCGAAACAUGGGUAAAUUAAUUCAUUUGCAUAUUUACAAUAUUCACAGCAAAACAAUUUUUACAACCCUAUUUCUACUAUUUACAUUUUAUACAUUUAGAUCACAUUCGAUCUUUCGCUUCGGUGUACCCCUCGCGCAGGCGGGAUUCAUCGGCGGGCAAACUGUCACUCGAUCGAUCAUCGGUGACAGAUCGCGAAACGUCAUUCAUCGGGAAACGAUCAAUCAUCACGACAUAUCGGCAUGAUCAAUGUUUAUGUUUACAUGAUCAUGCAGAUAUUCUGUGGCGAUCGAUUGUUGGUCAUGUUUUCGACGAAAACUGGCCAAAUUUUCAUAGAAAAUAUAGGGUGUAUUGGUGUCUACAACAGGGUAAUGAUUCCCCUUGGAGUGGUUUGUUUUGCUGCCAGAGCAAUAUCUUCUUGAAGAAGAUUUGCCUGCAGAAAACCCACAGAAUCUUGGGAUUACCGUGCUAGCCAUCUUGAUUGACCAAGAUGCACUGCAGAACGAUACUUUCAACGCUUUCUUCGCUUCUUAGAGAUGAUUUCAGCGGUGGAAGAUGGGUGGAAUAUACACACUGAGUUCCGAGGACCUUGACGGAUGACUCCUCGCCAACUCAUGCAUUCCGCUCCCGGUUUCCUGCCUCAUCACCUACUAGCUGGACUCAAAGCAUUUCAAAUAUUUCCCUAGAAUG